This is a long non-coding RNA of Cyprinus carpio carpio, 824 nucleotides long. Lineage: Eukaryota; Metazoa; Chordata; Actinopteri; Cypriniformes; Cyprinidae. The record is from Ensembl.
CCGCACCGCACUGUUGCAGACAGUCACAGAAAGAUCGCACAACAUGAGCAGACGCAGUAUGGGUGUUGAUUGUCCAUCUGAACCUCCUGACUGAAGAGAAGCUUGCCAGUUUCUACGAUGUCUUCCCUGUAAAGGCCACAGCUGUGUGGAAAAAAACCUUCUCUACCCAUUAAUUGCCAAUGACAAAGGCAGAGAAUGUAAGAACUACAGUCAUUAGAUUCCAUUGAUGGCUUCAUUUUGGGGCACAUGUAUUCAGUGACUGGCUUGUUCCUCGGAAGUGAUGCAGCUUGAGAAGAGCUAAUUUUAUUUCCAUGUUUGGAGAAUGUAAAAUGAGUGGGGGAGUUUCUUUUGUAAACCAUGUUUAUGUAAUGCACAAUUUUGAAAGUUAUGCAUUGAUUGUUACCAAUAAAGAAAGAUACUUACUUGAAGUGUUUUUUUUUUUUUCUUUUUUUUUUCUGCUCCUAACAUUGAGUCAUGGAUCAUGAUCCAUGUUACCAGGAAAUUACUGUCUUAGCCAUGGUUAAUCUGUAUUUAGCAUGGGUUCUAUGCAUUUUAUUUCCUUGGAAGAAGAAACUUCAAUUAAGACUGAUCUGUUUAAAUGGUUGGCAGUUUAACUGUUGAUGCUUUUGCUUUCAUCUAAAGGGGAGGUUAGUAAAUCAAAUCUGUUUAUAGUUGGAUCACUAUUUGUCUCCAUGUAAGUCUAAGACAAAGUGGUGUGUUUUCAAAAUUCAAGGCACAUUUGGGGUAAGUGUCUUAAACUUUUUCUGUGAAGCUGCGUUGUAACGAUCAUGAAAUGCAUUAUAUAAAGUGUAUUUAAUUGAAAU